This 814-nucleotide ribosomal RNA is filed under the name uncultured bacterium. RNAcentral describes it as "bacterial SSU rRNA". It matches the Rfam family "Bacterial small subunit ribosomal RNA", at positions 58 to 916 of the family's 1533-position model. The record is from RNAcentral.
CAAGUCGAACGCACCCUUCGGGGUGAGUGGCGCACGGCUGAGUAACACGUGGGAAUCUGUCGUCCAGUGGGGGAUAACGCAUCGAAAGAUACGCUAAUCCCGCAUACGGUCCGAAAGGAAGAAAGGCGCAAGUCGCUGGAUGAGGAGCCUGCGGCCCAUCAGGUAGUUGGAGAGGUAAUGGCUCACCAAGCCAAUGACGGGUAGCUGGUCUGUGAGGACAACCAGCCAGACUGGGACUGAGAACGGCCCAGACUCCUACGGGAGGCAGCAGUAAGGAAUUUUCGUCAAUGGGGGAAACCCUGAACGAGCAACGCCGCGUGGAGGAUGACGGUUUUCGGAUUGUAAACUCCUUUUGUAUGGGACGAUAAUGACGGUACCAUACGAAUAAGCCCCGGCUAACUCUGUGCCAGCAGCCGCGGUAAUACAGAGGGGGCAAGCGUUGUCCGGAGUUACUGGGCGUAAAGCGCACGCAGGCGGUUGUGCAAGUGGGAUGUGAAACCACCGUGCUUAACACGGUGACGCCAUGCCAAACUGCACGACUCGAGUGGUGGAGAGGUUGUUCGAAUUGCCGGUGUAGUGGUGAAAUGCGUAGAGAUCGGCAGGAAGACCAAGGGCGAAAGCAGACAACUGGCCACCAACUGACGCUCAGGUGCGAAAGCGUGGGGAGCGAACUGGAUUAGAUACCAGGUAGUCCACGCUGUAAACGAUGUAUGCUCGGUAUUUGUGCUGUUACGGCAUGGGUACCUCAGGAAACCCGGUAAGCAUACCGCCUGGGAAGUACGAACGCAAGUUUAAAACUCAAAGGAAUUGACGG